AACACACAAGUACAGUUGGGGACCUUCCCAGCUUCGUCUGAUUCAGACUGAAUUCCUCUUGCUACCUCCUCAACCUCAUUCCCCCCAGUGACAUUUCAGUUUUCUCUGGGGUCUCAGGAGACCACAUCUUCCUUCCUCAAUACCACCAGAAGAGGAAAGAGAAUUUAUGAUAUGUCAGUCCUCGUCUUUUACAGACAUGAUCUUCUAGCAAGAGCUCUGGAAGAAGGUAUUGUUAUCUCCAUGAGGGCCAGAGAAUUUAAGCAAUUUUCCCAAAUUCAUGAAGCCAGAAAAUGAAAAACAGAGAUUGAUACCUGGGUCUUCCUGACCACAAAGUUCACUCUGUUCCACUAUGUCAUCUUGCUGUCUACCACAUCUAGGAUCAAACUCAGUCUAGCACUCACAGAUUUCCUUGAUCAGGAUCCAAUUUUAUCCAACCAGUUUUAUAUUAGCCCCAAAUUUCAUCCAAGCUAAGUACCAUGUGGCCUUCCUUAAGGUAGGAUGUAUGUUCUGGCCUAGAAUACAUUUCCCUUCUCCUAGCCUAGGUUUGCACAUUCUUCAAGGCUAUGUUUAUCUUCCAAAGGAUUCUUUUGACUCCUCCAGCUCCAGUUUUUCUCCUCCUAAACAUUUGAUGAGUUUGGAAGUUGAUGUCCUUUGUCCUUUGAAAAGCAUCCACCUGCUUUUCCUCUGGAGGAUGGAAAGACAACUGGCUCUUUCCCCAGACGACUCCAGCAAACCCCACCUGACAUCUCAGCCCAAUCACAGCUACGAGGAAGCUAACCAACAUGAUAGGAAUGGAAGAGUGGAAGAUGGAACUUGAGCUCUCGAUGACGUUGUCAUGGUGCUGAGUGGAAUAAUCCCGAAGAUGCACUACCUCAGAACUCCUUGUUGUGUGAGCUAAGAAAUCCCUUAGCUGUUUCAGCUGUCCUGAGUUGAGUUGUCUGUUUCCCAAGCUGCUCCUGUUUCAUAUUCUUACUCUUCUCAUGAAACUUUGAAUGUGCCUGCAACAAAACCCUUACUUAGGGGCCAGUUAUGGAGUAAGAGUAAGGCCUCUCUCCCUGUCACUGUGUGAGAGGUCUCCCGGAGUGCAGAGUGGGAUACUCCUAGAAUGCCAGUGGGCCCCAAAGAGAGACAUGGACUCCCAUCAUAGCUCGAUUCAAAGGCAGCUUUUCUAGAUUUUGGUAGCCCACCGCAGUAGCCAAAAAUGCUCAUUGGCUUGAAGGAUUGAUGGAUACAUGGACCCAACUUAGAAAUUGGUUCUUAGGCUCACCUUUGGUCUGGGUCUGGCUCUGAGUAACCUCCUGCUGUGCUCUGGUGUUUUCAGGAUGCCCAGACACUAUCUGUCUUCUGUGUAAUCCUUUAUAGGAUUAGCUCAGCAGACUCAAAAUGCUCAAAACUUGCACAUUCUAAGGAAAGGCCUGGCAGAUAACCUCUAGGCCCUUGGAAUAUCCUUCCUGAUCAGAGUGUCUUCAUAUAAUUGAUUCUUUGAUCCAAGCCAGAUCAUCUAUGCUAAUGAUGUGAUUUAUGGGGAACAUCUGUUUCAUCUGCCUGGGGCGUUGGGCCACACUAUAUCCCUUUGACUCUUGGAGACCUGGAGACUGAGUAGUUAAGGUCAGUCACUCAGGUGCUCCUUGCCUAUGUGAGUGACCCCCAGUAACAACCCUGGACACGCAGGCUCAGGUGGGUGCCCUGGCUGGCAAUAAGACUUUGUAGGUGUCCAUCACAUAUUGUUGUUGAAAGCAUUAAGUACAGCCUGUACAUUUCCUCUGGGAGAAGACCAAUGGAAGGAAGCUUAUGCCUGGUUUCUCCUGCUCUUUGCAUCUUCGCCUUUACUGAUUUCAAUCUGUAUUCUUUGCUGCAGAGAACAUACAUUUACCAGCUUUUCUGAGUUCUGUGAGUCCUUCUAGAGAAUCAUUGAGCCUGAGGGUGGUUUUGGGGAUCCCCGACACUCCACUACACAGAAACCUAGAACUUCUGUUGGGAUCUCUUAUAUUCUUCCUAGAGUCACAUAUCAACUCAGUAUUUUACUGGGUCAACUGGUCCCCUGGAAAGAGCCCUGGCACACGGAAGACUUGGAAUCCUCUCCUGGUUCCAUGACAUGGCACUGACAGGGCCUUGGGGAAGUCACAGAUCUCUAAUCUGUCCUCUUUGGCCAAGUAGGACAAUAUCUGCUCUGUCUACUAUAAUGGGUCAUUGUGGGGAGCACAUCAGAUAAUGCACGUGACAACGUUUUGAAAAAUGUAUGGAUUUUUAAUGAUUAGAUGUUGCAUACACUUUAAACACUUGACACAGAGGUGGAAUAUUUAGUGGCUAACACUGAGUGCUGAAUUUGUGCCAGGAACUUUAACACGUACAGGCUGAUUUAAUCCCCACUCUGGAAUCAGCCUCACGUUUUAUCUUCAACAGAAACUUUGUGAAGAGGAAAUCAAACAAACUUUCCACAGUUCUAUAACUAGUAAAGAGCAAAACUAGAACUCAAACCAUAGCCGUCUGGUUGAAGAGCCCAAGAGAUCACCCAUUUUACAAUGCAAUUCUGUUCUUUCAAGUGCCUCCAGUGAAUUCAGUCUCUUAAAUGUAAAACACCUUAGAGAUGUAAAAUACCAAUAACAACCUAGAAACAAUCCCUAGACCAAGGUUACUAGAGAAAAUACACUUGUCUUACCUAAGACAAUUUUCCUUCCUUCUGGGUCAGGAUACUCAACAAAUAAACACAUCUUGGGACACUUACAGACACACCAUCCAACAACGUUAACAAGAGGAGGGGGCUUGACUGCUCUUGCUCCCUUUC
Molecule: long non-coding RNA, 2785 nt
Organism: Lutra lutra (Eurasian river otter)
Lineage: Eukaryota; Metazoa; Chordata; Mammalia; Carnivora; Mustelidae
Exons: 3
Source: RefSeq, a predicted model, not a curated record